RNAcentral lists this long non-coding RNA (224 nucleotides) under Jatropha curcas. RNAcentral describes it as "long non-coding RNA (JCUR_LNC000194)". The record is from RNAcentral. Lineage: Eukaryota; Viridiplantae; Streptophyta; Magnoliopsida; Malpighiales; Euphorbiaceae.
GAUAAACUAAUAGAGAUUAAAUUCUAGAAAUGUUACUAUUAGGGAUGCAAAAGUGGAAAUUGUAAUUUACAUUAAAUCAAAGGUCAGGAAAGGAGGAUCUAAGACAAAUAAUCAUAAUAGACAAGAAAUCUUUACGUAUCCAAGAUAGAAGUUGUAAAUCGCUUAAAUAUGACAUCGAGGAAAAGAGAGACUUAUUGGAAUCAAUAAAUAGAGUCAGAUGUAGG